GCCGUGCCACCUGCACAGACCUCCACUGUGCCUCUGACUCAGUGAGGCUGGGAAACCUGAUGAACAUAACUACCACUCAGACACAGCUCUGGAAAACUGGAAACUUAGAAAACAAUGAACUGCUGCUACAAACAAACCACAAUUGGCGAAGAAUACACUUAAAGCAUCUAUGGUCAAAACAUCUGGAAGAGUCUAUUUGAAGAUGGAGUAUGUGGAGAUUACACAGUGUAAGUGGUGUGUCCUGGAGAAGAAGAAGAACAAGAGAGAUGCUGAAAGCGCAGCAGUGUGUCUGACCUGAGGGAAGAAUGAUUCCUGGGAACAAUGACCGGACGCUCAGCAGAUACUAGUUGUAGGACUCUUUCCUGGCUUUCAGCACAGUGAAAACAAAGGUCAUCUAUUUGGGCAUUUAUUUCCCAAAGAUGGAGGGCUGUUAUCUUUUCUUUCAUGACCUUCCUGACAUUAUGCUGCAAAGGAAACAUUUAGAAUAAUAUUUCACCUACUUUGCAUCAAUUUUACAGCAACUGCAACGUAAUUAUGCACCUGUAACUUUUGUGAAAUGUCAAUCUGUCUGUCAUACUGCACAAAUUAAUAUCCUUUAACAAUCUAUAAACAUGCACUCUAUUUAGCAACAGAAGAGCAAAAACACUGAUAGUUUAUACUAAAUUGCUGUUUUCUAAUUUUAAUAAACUGAUUAAAGAUACAUUUUUAAUGUAAAUAUUAGGGAUGCAUGAUGAUAUCAGUAUCAUCAUUGGUAGAUGAUAAAUGCUAUGAAAUAAGAUAUGAUCAUAACCAUUGACAAGCAGAUAAUGCCUGCAAGGCUAAGGGCUUGAAGUUUUGUUUGAAAAUUGUACAUAAAAAUAAAUAAUAUGGACUGUUUUACAUGUAAGUUGAUUUCUUAUUUUGCUCAGUGAAUUUGUACAUCUGAAAAGCAUUGUUUUUUGUCUGUACCUGCAAGAGGGCCAUGACAAUAGGAACAGGCC
Long non-coding RNA from Amphiprion ocellaris (clown anemonefish), 980 nucleotides. Lineage: Eukaryota; Metazoa; Chordata; Actinopteri; Pomacentridae. The record is from Ensembl.